This is a long non-coding RNA of Varroa destructor (honeybee mite), 1235 nucleotides long. The record is from RefSeq and is a predicted model, not a curated record. NCBI's taxonomy places the organism in Eukaryota, Metazoa, Arthropoda, Arachnida, Mesostigmata, Varroidae.
AUGGCGUUACCCCCGUAGGCUGACAAACACGCUUCACUCAGACUGCCGGCGUGGGUGAGAGGAAUUUCCUAUCCUUGAAAGCGCGAGCAGUUAAGGAGCUUCGUAGGCAGUCUUGAUCAGCAUCACUACGUUGCUGUGAGUACCAGCCAUUUCCGCAAAUAUCAGACAAUUCCACGGUGGCCAAAACGGUACUUUUUCGGGUAAGUAAGUCAUAUGCCCACAGACGGCAAUAUACCGGCCUAUAAACGGACUAGUACCCACAUGACCCACGUGCGGAAGAAGGAAUCAAAAGUUUAAAUAACACAGUUAUUACAUUGAUAACAGUAAUGGAUCAAUUCAGGCUGAAGCCUAUAGUAAUCGGAUUUUAGCUGUUUAUAAGUUGUAAAUCUGUUAUCGCUUGUGAAGUGGUCAAGAUUAAGAUGACAGUGAAACGUUUUUAAGUUUAAACCACGAAGGUCGUGAAACUCGUGGAACAAGGCUGCACAUCGUUCCGUGUCUCCUAACAAGAGCUGUCUUCAGGUUGAUGUCAACGGGUUUCUUUAGGUGGAGAUCUAUGAGGUCGUAAUGCAUAUCGUUCAUCUGAAGGUACCGUACAGGCAUCUGUGUUUCUACCAAACAGAAUCAGUGUUGCCGCAAUGCGCAGACAAGGAGUCAAUGGCAAGAUCGAAGCGGCCAUUGGCAGAACGGAGCUGACAUGAAAGAAAUUACUAGAGGGUCGUUUUUGGGGGUGGAGACUUGGAGUUCACCGACAAAGCCGCAAUAGUUCGACGAAGAAGAAUACUUCCACGGACAAAAUGUGCUGCGUGCCAAUAUUCUCAGGUGCCAAAAACAUCGUCCUAGUUCGGCAAAUGCAUGGAUCCGUUCACGCUACGGUGAAGCGCUGUCAUCCUCGGCACGCAAACGAUCCCGAACUUUGGAUGUCACAGUUUUAUAUGGCAGAUUUCGUUCGCCGGUUUAACGAUGUUCGUCCCUCGUGCAGUCGGCCUGGGGCAUCUGACCCAUGAAAACAAACAGGCUGUGCUCCACUGCUGGAGAUGCAUUGGUCACCUUGUCGGUAUGUCGGACACAUACAAUGUCUGUGCCACAGACUUUGUCGAAGAUGUUCAUUGAUGAAAUCCUUCGUCCAGCCAUGUUCAGCACAAAUUUUCAACGUUUCAAGUUGGCCAAUAGUGUUGUGGAAUCUAUCCUUGUCUCUGCGAACAAUAAAACCUGUAUAGUCAGCGCAUUCCACUUAC